AGAUGUUGAAAACACACUGGAGCUUUUAAAAUACACAACCAGACACAGAGCAAGGUCAGCCCAGAGGAAAAGGAAGGUCAGCCCAGAGGAAAAGGAAGGUCAGCCCAGAGGAAGAGGAAGGUCAGCCCAGAGGAAAAGGAAGGUCAGCCCAGAGGAAAAGGAAGAGGAAGUUCAGCCUGGAGGAAGAGGAAGGUCAGCCUGGAGGAAGAGGAAGGUCAGCCCAGAGGAAAAGGGAGCGGAGAGGAAGGUCAGCCUAGAGGAAAAGGGAGAGGAAGUUCAGCCUGGAGGAAGAGGAAGGUCAGCCUGGAGGAAGAGGAAGGUCAGCCUGGAGGAAAAGGGAGAGGAAGUUCAGCCUGGAGGAAGAGGAAGGUCAGCCUGGAGGAAGAGGAAGGUCAGCCUAGAGGAAAAGGGAGAGGAAGGUCAGCCUAGAGGAAAAGGGAGAGGAAGUUCAGCCUGGAGGAAGAGGAAGGUCAGCCUGGAGGAAGAGGAAGGUCAGCCUGGAGGAAGAGGAAGGUCAGCCUGGAGGAAGAGGAAGGUCAGCCUGGAGGAAGAGGAAGG
Molecule: long non-coding RNA, 558 nt
Organism: Oncorhynchus keta (chum salmon)
Lineage: Eukaryota; Metazoa; Chordata; Actinopteri; Salmoniformes; Salmonidae
Exons: 3
Source: RefSeq, a predicted model, not a curated record